ACAUUGGUGGUUCAGUGGUAGAAUUCUCACCUUCCAUGUGGGAAACCCAGGUUCAAUUCCCGGCCAGUGCA
Loxodonta africana (African savanna elephant) is the source of this 71-nucleotide transfer RNA. It matches the Rfam family "tRNA". From Rfam's summary of the family: Transfer RNA (tRNA) molecules are approximately 80 nucleotides in length. Their secondary structure includes four short double-helical elements and three loops (D, anti-codon, and T loops). The record is from Rfam. NCBI's taxonomy places the organism in Eukaryota, Metazoa, Chordata, Mammalia, Proboscidea, Elephantidae.